This 372-nucleotide ribosomal RNA is filed under the name uncultured bacterium. Its description in RNAcentral is "bacterial SSU rRNA". It matches the Rfam family "Bacterial small subunit ribosomal RNA", at positions 917 to 1289 of the family's 1533-position model. The record is from RNAcentral.
GGGCCCGCACAAGCGGUGGAGUAUGUGGUUUAAUUCGAUGCAACGCGAAGAACCUUACCAGGGUUUGACAUCCUGCGAAUCUCUUGGAAACGAGAGAGUGCCUUCGGGAACGCAGUGACAGGUGGUGCAUGGCUGUCGUCAGCUCGUGUCGUGAGAUGUUGGGUUAAGUCCCGCAACGAGCGCAACCCACGUCUUUAGUUGCCAGCAAUUAAAGUUGGGUACUCUAGCGAGACUGCCGGUGCAAACCGUGAGAAGGUGGGGAUGACGUCAAAUCAUCACGGCCCCUUACGUCCUGGGGCUACACACGUGCUACAAUGGCCGGUACAGAGAGCAGCCACUACGCGAGUAGGAGCGAAUCUUCAAAGCGGUCUC